Molecule: ribosomal RNA, 642 nt
Filed under: uncultured Bacteroidales bacterium
Lineage: Bacteria; Pseudomonadati; Bacteroidota; Bacteroidia; Bacteroidales
Description: bacterial SSU rRNA
Rfam family: Bacterial small subunit ribosomal RNA
Source: RNAcentral
GCAAUACAACUGGGUGGCGACCGGCGCACGGGUGAGUAACGCGUAUGCAACCUACCUAUCAGAGGGGAAUAACCCGGCGAAAGUCGGACUAAUACCGCAUAAAACAGGGACACCGCAUGGUGAUAUUUGUUAAAGAAAUUCGCUGAUAGAUGGGCAUGCGUUCCAUUAGGUAGUUGGUGAGGUAACGGCUCACCAAGCCGACGAUGGAUAGGGGAACUGAGAGGUUGGUCCCCCACACUGGUACUGAGACACGGACCAGACUCCUACGGGAGGCAGCAGUGAGGAAUAUUGGUCAAUGGGCGAGAGCCUGAACCAGCCAAGUCGCGUGAAGGAAGAAGGAUCUAUGGUUCGUAAACUUCUUUUGCAGGGGAAUAAAGUGCAGGACGUGUCCUGUUUUGUAUGUACCCUGAGAAUAAGGAUCGGCUAACUCCGUGCCAGCAGCCGCGGUAAUACGGAGGAUCCGAGCGUUAUCCGGAUUUAUUGGGUUUAAAGGGUGCGUAGGUGGUUUGAUAAGUCAGCGGUGAAAGUUUGCAGCUUAACUGUAAAAAUGCCGUUGAAACUGUCGGACUUGAGUGUAAAUGAGGUAGGCGGAAUGCGUGGUGUAGCGGUGAAAUGCUUAGAUAUCACGAACAACUCCGAUUG